RNAcentral lists this ribosomal RNA (468 nucleotides) under uncultured bacterium. RNAcentral's name for it is "partial 16S ribosomal RNA". The stretch from base 58 to 468 matches the Rfam family "Bacterial small subunit ribosomal RNA", at positions 39 to 507 of the family's 1533-position model. The record is from RNAcentral.
GGGGGGGGGGGGGGGGGGGGGGGGGGCGUGGGGGGCGGGGGGGGGGGGCCGGGUGGGGGGGGGUGCUGGGGUGGCGAACGGGUGCGUGAGACGUGGGUGACCUGCCCUGGGCGUUGGGGUACAUUCAGGAAACCGGGGCUCAUACCGGGUAGGAGCUCCUGCGGCCGGGGGGGGGUUGGGAAGUUUCGGCGGUUGGGGAUGGACUCGCUGCUUAUCAGCUUGUGGGUGGGGUAGUGGCUUACCAAGGCUUUGACGGGUAGCCGGCCUGAGAGGGUGACCGGCCACAUUGGGACUGAGAUACGGCCCAGACUCCUACGGGAGGCAGCAGUGGGGAAUAUUGCACAAUGGGCGGAAGCCUGAUGCAGCAACGCCGCGUGCGGGAUGACGGCCUUCGGGUUGUAAACCGCUUUCGCCUGUGACGAAGCGUGAGUGACGGUAAUGGGUAAAGAAGCACCGGCUAACUACGUG